This 89-nucleotide non-coding RNA is filed under the name unclassified sequences. The record is from Rfam.
GAGCGGAGGGCGCAUAGGAAUCGCAGAUUCCUAUUUUGGAUGCGCCCGACAACCUGCCGACGAGCGUAUGCGAGUGGGCGAUACCCGAG